UGGGGAAUAUUGGACAAUGCGGGCAACCGUGAUCCAGCAAUGCCGCGUGAGUGAAGAAGGCCUUAGGGUUGUAAAGCUCUUUUACCAGGGAUGAUAAUGACAGUACCUGGAGAAUAAGCCCCGGCUAACUCCGUGCCUGCAGCCGCGGUAAUACGGAGGGGGCUAGCGUUGUUCGGAAUUACUGGGCGUAAAGCGGGCGUAGGCGGCUUUUCAAGUCAGAGGUGAAAUCCCGGGGCUUAACCCCGGAACUGCCUUUGAAACUGAAUGGCUAGAAUCUUGGAGAGGUGAGUGGAAUUUCGAGUGUAGAGGUGAAAUUCGUAGAUAUUCGGAAGAACACCAGUGGCGAAGGCGACUCACUGGACCAGCAUUGACGCUGAGGUGCGAGAGCGUGGGGAGCGAACGGGAUUAGAUACCCCCGUAGUCC
Molecule: ribosomal RNA, 424 nt
Filed under: uncultured prokaryote
Description: bacterial SSU rRNA
Rfam family: Bacterial small subunit ribosomal RNA
Source: RNAcentral